Cyanistes caeruleus (blue tit) is the source of this 1502-nucleotide long non-coding RNA. RefSeq lists it as uncharacterized. NCBI's taxonomy places the organism in Eukaryota, Metazoa, Chordata, Aves, Passeriformes, Paridae. The record is from RefSeq and is a predicted model, not a curated record.
UUUAACUUACAGAGCAAGUCAAUCAUCAAGUGUCCACCACGUUUUACUGAUACCUGCUGUGACACAGUAAGCUCAAUCAUGUGUGAUCCUAUGAGAGCCACAGGAAAUCUAACACCCACAUGAACCAGAAGUUGCUGGAACUGGAAGAAUUUGAAUGUCUGCCUUUGAGGCAAUGGUCACUUCCAUCUGCAGGAGUUAGAGGUGGUUAUUACCAAACCAUUGCAAAGCUCCAAACCGGGUUCAUAAGUUCUGAGAAACACAAUCCCCACCUGUUCCAAAUCACAGUGCAUGAGAAAGAAAAGCCUAAUGAACCCAUUUAGCUGAAGAAGCCUCUACUUUCAUCUGUUCAAACAGUGUACAAAUUUCAUGUUUUUGAGGAACUAUUUAUCUUCCCACUCAAUAGGAGCAAUUCCCAUUUGGCUACCAAGAAGAAAGGCUCAAGAUCAGAUGUGUCUCUGACUGACAAUACUUGCAUUUUAAGGAAUCAACUAUUGGAUUUCUGGUCUUUACAGUCAAAACAUUUUUUGCUAACUAAAUGCAGAAAUAACUUUACUUUUGAGCCAAAUACAUCCCUCGGGCAGGCUCAGUAAAGUCAAUACCUUCACAACAUGAAAGAAUUUGGCUCAGAAUAUUAUGAGCUGUUUGUAUCUCUGUCUACACAGGCUGCUGCAAUAACUGACAGUAGUGGAUAAUAGUUUUGAGCUAUCUGGAAGAGAUUUAAAAUUAUUGUAGGGUUUUGUUUUUUUGUCUGCAGUUAUUUGUAGUCCCCACUGAAAUGGGUUUUGAUAGAAGGGCUUCAGUCAACGACGGCUCUGAGGGAACAGUCCAACUCCCACAGAUUUCAUUAAAUGUUGGACGUGUAUUUCAAACAAGACUUAUUUAUGCAAUAUAAAGUCUUCCCAAUUACACAGUAUAUUAUACAGUGAAAAUUAUGGAAUGUUUUCUUCUCAUAAAAUACGCCACAUGAUAUGGUGCUAAAGACAGAGUGAAAUUAUAGAAAUAGAGUCUUUCCCUCCCGCACACCAACAAGAAUUACAAUAGUUUGAGUAACAGAAGGCAAAAUUCAUUUGUAAGCCAAGUUCGUGUACUAUUGGAUCCUAAAAAUAGCCUGGAGAAUCUUCAGAGAGUUUUCAAUAAAUGAGUAUGUUAAAUCUGAACCGUAUGUACUGGUCACUGGAAUGCUUUCCCAUUCUGCUUUAUUUUUGGGAAGCAAAUGCAAAAGAUUCCCAAACAUGUACAUGUAGCAGGCAAACUGAAAUGUGGAGAUGGUGCACCUUCCAUCUACCUUCUUAGUAGUAAAGGAUCCAGACUCACUCUCUCUCUCUUGAAAAGAUCUGCUCUGUUCCACUAAAAUGUAGAGACAGAAUCAUAUGAUUGAAGACCUGGUGACAUAAAGAAACAUGAGGUGUCCUGAGGGACCACAUGGUCCUUCAACUACUCUUUCAGUACUGAAGCAAAAAGUGAAUAUGCUGAUUUUUUUCUCUAUAUUUUUGUGGAACAAG